CCUACGGGUGGCAGCAGUGGGGAAUAUUGCACAAUGGGGGAAACCCUGAUGCAGCGACGCCGCGUGAGUGAAGAAGUAUUUCGGUAUGUAAAGCUCUAUCAGCAGGAACGAGACAAGACGGUACCUGACUAAGAAGUCCCGGCUAACUACGUGCCAGAAGCCGAAGUAAUACGUAGGGGGCAAGCGUUAUCCGGAACCAUUGGGGGGAAAGGGAGCGUAGACGGCUGAGCAAGCCUGAAGUGAAAGGCGGGGGCCCAACCCCCGGACUGCUUUGGGAACUGUACGGCUGGAGUGCAGGAGGGGUAGGUGGAAUUCCUAGUGUAGCGGUGAAAUGCGUAGAUAUUAGGAAGAACACCAGUGGCGAAGGCGGCUUACUGGACUGUAACUGACGUUGAGGCUCGAAAGCGUGGGGAGCAAACAGGAUUAGAUACCCCUGUAGUC
RNAcentral lists this ribosomal RNA (441 nucleotides) under uncultured bacterium. RNAcentral describes it as "partial 16S ribosomal RNA". It matches the Rfam family "Bacterial small subunit ribosomal RNA", at positions 338 to 795 of the family's 1533-position model. The record is from RNAcentral.